AACGAACGCUGGCGGCAGGCCUAACACAUGCAAGUCGAGCGAGGACUUCGGUUCUAGCGGCGGACGGGUGCGUAACGCGUGGGAAUGUGCCCUUCUCUACGGAAUAGCCCUGGGAAACUGGGGGUAAUACCGUAUACGCCCUAUUGGGGAAAGAUUUAUCGGAGAAGGAUCAGCCCGCGUUGGAUUAGGUAGUUGGUGGGGUAAUGGCCUACCAAGCCGACGAUCCAUAGCUGGUUUGAGAGGAUGAUCAGCCACACUGGGACUGAGACACGGCCCAGACUCCUACGGGAGGCAGCAGUGGGGAAUCUUAGACAAUGGGGGCAACCCUGAUCUAGCCAUGCCGCGUGAGUGAUGAAGGCCUUAGGGUUGUAAAGCUCUUUCAGCUGGGAAGAUAAUGACGGUACCAGCAGAAGAAGCCCCGGCUAACUCCGUG
Molecule: ribosomal RNA, 433 nt
Filed under: uncultured bacterium
Lineage: Bacteria
Description: partial 16S ribosomal RNA
Rfam family: Bacterial small subunit ribosomal RNA
Source: RNAcentral